RNAcentral lists this ribosomal RNA (764 nucleotides) under uncultured Bacteroidota bacterium. RNAcentral describes it as "bacterial SSU rRNA". It matches the Rfam family "Bacterial small subunit ribosomal RNA", at positions 60 to 813 of the family's 1533-position model. Lineage: Bacteria; Pseudomonadati; Bacteroidota. The record is from RNAcentral.
AGUCGAGGGGCAGCACAUGAAGUAGCAAUACUGAUGGUGGCGACCGGCGCACGGGUGAGUAACGCGUAUGCAACCUACCUACAACAGGGGAAUAACUCGUUGAAAGACGGACUAAUACCCCAUAAUACAGGGAUCCCGCAUGGGAAUAUUUGUUAAAGAUUUAUCGGUUGUAGAUGGGCAUGCGUUCCAUUAGCUAGUUGGUGAGGUAACGGCUCACCAAGGCAACGAUGGAUAGGGGAACUGAGAGGUUUAUCCCCCACACUGGUACUGAGACACGGACCAGACUCCUACGGGAGGCAGCAGUGAGGAAUAUUGGUCAAUGGACGCAAGUCUGAACCAGCCACGUCGCGUGAAGGAAGACGGCCCUACGGGUUGUAAACUUCUUUUGUAAGGGAAUAAAGUGAGCCACGUGUGGCUUUUUGCAUGUACCUUACGAAUAAGGAUCGGCUAACUCCGUGCCAGCAGCCGCGGUAAUACGGAGGAUCCGAGCGUUAUCCGGAUUUAUUGGGUUUAAAGGGUGCGCAGGCGGGGGAUUAAGUCGGCGGUGAAAUUUUGCAGCUCAACUGUAAAAGUGCCUUCGAAACUGGUUUCCUUGAGUGUAGAUGAAGUAGGCGGAAUUUGUGGUGUAGCGGUGAAAUGCAUAGAUAUCACGAGGAACUCCGAUUGCGCAGGCAGCUUACUAAACUACUACUGACGCUCAGGCACGAAGGCGUGGGGAUCAAACAGGAUUAGAUAUCCUGGUAGUCCACGCAGUAAACGAUGAU